UACGGGGGGUGCAAGCGUUGUUCGGAUUUAUUGGGCGUAAAGCGCGUGUAGGCGGUUUGUUAAGUCUGAUGUGAAAGCCCUGGGCUCAACCCAGGAAGUGCAUUGGAAACUGGUCGACUAGAGUGUGGCAGAGGGUAGUGGAAUUCCUGGUGUAGCAGUGAAAUGCGUAGAGAUCAGGAGGAACAUCCGUGGCGAAGGCGGCUGCCUGGACCGAUAUUGACGCUGAGACGCGAAAGCGUGGGUAGCAAACAGG
RNAcentral lists this ribosomal RNA (253 nucleotides) under uncultured bacterium. RNAcentral's name for it is "partial 16S ribosomal RNA". It matches the Rfam family "Bacterial small subunit ribosomal RNA", at positions 524 to 776 of the family's 1533-position model. The record is from RNAcentral.